Molecule: ribosomal RNA, 441 nt
Filed under: uncultured bacterium
Lineage: Bacteria
Description: partial 16S ribosomal RNA
Rfam family: Bacterial small subunit ribosomal RNA
Source: RNAcentral
CCUACGGGUGACAGCAGUGGGGAAUAUUGCACAAUGGGGGGAACCCUGAUGCAGCGACGCCGCGUGGGUGAAGGAGUAUUUCGGUAUGUAAAGCUCUAUCAGCAGGGAAGAACAAUGACGGUACUUGACUAAGAAGCACCGGCUAAAUACGUGCCAGCAGCCGCGGUAAUACGUAUGGGGCAAGCGUUAUCCGGUUUUACUGGGUGUAAAGGGAGCGCAGGCGGCGCGUUAAGCCUGGUGUGAAAGCCCGGGGCCCAACCGCGGGACUGCAUUGGGAACUGGCGCGCUGGAGUGCCGGAGGGGUAGGCGGAAUUCCUAGUGUAGCGGUGAAAUGCGUAGAUAUUAGGAGGAACACCAGUGGCGAAGGCGGCCUACUGGACGGUGACUGACGCUGAGGCUCGAAAGCGUGGGGAGCAAACAGGAUUAGAUACCCGUGUAGUC